Molecule: transfer RNA, 73 nt
Filed under: archaeon
Lineage: Archaea
Description: tRNA-Lys
Rfam family: tRNA
About the family: Transfer RNA (tRNA) molecules are approximately 80 nucleotides in length. Their secondary structure includes four short double-helical elements and three loops (D, anti-codon, and T loops). Further hydrogen bonds mediate the characteristic L-shaped molecular structure. tRNAs have two regions of fundamental functional importance: the anti-codon, which is responsible for specific mRNA codon recognition, and the 3' end, to which the tRNAs corresponding amino acid is attached (by aminoacyl-tRNA synthetases). tRNAs cope with the degeneracy of the genetic code in two manners: having more than one tRNA (with a specific anti-codon) for a particular amino acid; and 'wobble' base-pairing, i.e. permitting non-standard base-pairing at the 3rd anti-codon position.
Source: RNAcentral
GCCAACGUGGCGCAAUCGGUAGCGCAUUAGACUUUUAAUCUAAGGGUUGCGGGUUCGAGCCCCGCCGUCGGCU